Molecule: ribosomal RNA, 468 nt
Filed under: uncultured bacterium
Lineage: Bacteria
Description: partial 16S ribosomal RNA
Rfam family: Bacterial small subunit ribosomal RNA
Source: RNAcentral
GACGAACGCUGGCGGCGUGCUUAACACAUGCAAGUCGAACGGAAAGGCCCUGCUUUUGUUGGGUGCUCGAGUGGCGAACCGGUGAGUAACAUGAGAGUAACCUGCCCUUGCCUUUGGGUUAACUUCACGAAACUGGGGCUAAUACCGGAUAGGAGCUCCUGCUGCAUGGUGGGGGUUGGAAUGUUUCGGCGGUUGGGGAUGGACGCGCGGCUUAUCAGCCUGUUGGUGGGGUAGUGGCUUACGAAGGCUUUGACGGGUAGCCGGCCUGAGAGGGUGACCGGCAACAUUGGGACUGAGAUGCGGCGCAGACUCCUACGGGAGGCAGCAGUGGGGAAUAGUGCACAAUGGGCGGAAGCCUGAUGCAGCAACGCCGCGUGCGGGAUGACGGCCUUCGGGUUGUAAACCGCUUUCGCCUGUGACGAAGCGUGGGUGACGGUAAUGGGUAAAGAAGCACCGGCUAACUACGUG